RNAcentral lists this ribosomal RNA (253 nucleotides) under uncultured bacterium. RNAcentral describes it as "partial 16S ribosomal RNA". It matches the Rfam family "Bacterial small subunit ribosomal RNA", at positions 524 to 776 of the family's 1533-position model. The record is from RNAcentral.
UACGGGGGGAGCAAGCGUUGUUCGGAAUCACUGGGCGUAAAGGGCGUGUAGGCGGCUGAAUAAGUGGGAUGUUAAAUCCCCCGGCUCAACCGGGGACCUGCAUCUCAUACUGUUCAGCUCGAGCACAUCAGAGGAGACUGGAAUUCCCGGUGUAGCGGUGAAAUGCGUAGAUAUCGUGAGGAAGACCAGUGGCGAAGGCGGAUCUCUGGACAGCUACUGACGCUGAGGCGCGAAGGCUAGGGGAGCAAACGGG